GAUGAAGAACGCAGCGAAAUGCGAUAAGUAGUGUGAAUUGCAGAAUUCAGUGAAUCAUCGAAUCUUUGAACGCACAUUGCGCCCCUUGGUAUUCCAUGGGGCAUGCCUGUUCGAGCGUCAUUUGUACCUUCAAGCUUUGCUUGGUGUUGGGUGUUUGUCUCGCCUUUGCGUGUAGACUCGCCUUAAAAUAAUUGGCAGCCGGCGUAUUGAUUUCGGAGCGCAGUACAUCUCGCGCUUUGCACUCAUAACGACAGCGUCCAAAAGUACAUUUUACACUCUUGACCUCGGAUCAGGUAGGGAUACCCGCUGAACUGAAGCAUAUCAAUAAGCGGAGGA
This 336-nucleotide unclassified non-coding RNA is filed under the name soil metagenome. RNAcentral describes it as "partial contains 5.8S ribosomal RNA, internal transcribed spacer 2, and large subunit ribosomal RNA". The stretch from base 1 to 120 matches the Rfam family "5.8S ribosomal RNA", at positions 35 to 154 of the family's 154-position model. The record is from RNAcentral.